This 387-nucleotide long non-coding RNA is filed under the name Lathyrus oleraceus (garden pea). RNAcentral describes it as "Pisum sativum (pea) long non-coding RNA (PSAT_LNC010693)". Lineage: Eukaryota; Viridiplantae; Streptophyta; Magnoliopsida; Fabales; Fabaceae. The record is from RNAcentral.
UUAUGGAAGGUUAGAAAUAAAAUAAGAAACAUAUAAUAAAAUUUUCAGAAUUUUAAGAUCAAUAAAAGUAUUUUUAAACCAAUUAAAGCAAAGGAGAAAAGAUAAAAAUCAAGAAAAAUAGAAAAUAUGUGAACUAAAAUAUGGAAAAAUAAAAAUCAGAUGAAGAAAAAUAAAAGAGAAUUUUAGAAAUUAUUAUGGGAUUUUUUGGAUAAAAAAUGAAAUUACUAUAAAUUUUUAAAGAAAAAGCAAUAAAAAAUAAGAAAAGAAAAAUAGUUAAAAUCAUAAAAAACACGGAGCGUUGGAUCAUACUGUAAGACCCCAAUUUUGACCCUAAGAUCCCUCAUGCAAUUUCAUCAUAUGCAUUAGCAUUGGGAUCGUACCUUGGCA